This 72-nucleotide transfer RNA is filed under the name Camelus bactrianus (Bactrian camel). It matches the Rfam family "tRNA". From Rfam's summary of the family: Transfer RNA (tRNA) molecules are approximately 80 nucleotides in length. The record is from Rfam by way of RNAcentral. Lineage: Eukaryota; Metazoa; Chordata; Mammalia; Artiodactyla; Camelidae. RNAcentral also lists the same sequence under 2 other names.
GUGGGUGUAGGUCAGUGGUAGAGCACAUGCAUAGCAUGCAUGAGGUCCUGGGUUCAAUCCCCAGUACUGCCA